This 1025-nucleotide long non-coding RNA is filed under the name Macaca fascicularis (crab-eating macaque). Its description in RNAcentral is "lncRNA (ENSMFAG00000061929.1)". The record is from RNAcentral. Lineage: Eukaryota; Metazoa; Chordata; Mammalia; Primates; Cercopithecidae.
GCAGGUUGUGAGGUGGAUACAAACAAAGUGGAAUGCUAUCCCUUCUCCCCUUUCCUCUUCCUCCUGCAGUCUGUCUGUGCCCUCCUAGGAUAGUCCUCCCCUUGAGAAAGGGGAAACAACAUUGAGAGGGUGAGGCGGGGAGGCUGCAUGAAGAGCUUGGAAAAGCUUGGUUUCUGAACACUUUAACUAUCGAAGUUUAAGAGCAACAAAGAAGUUACAGUAAAAAGCCUUAGAAGCAAAAGGCAACUUAAUUUAGUAUUUUAGCUUUAAAAAUUAAAAGUAAGGAACAGAAAAUUCUACUUAACCAAAGUAAAAAUCAAUUCAAAAAAUCCAAUUCUAAGUUAUAAUCAUUUAAGGGCAAGAGAGAUGAUGGAGAAUGAAGGAAAAUGAAGAGGGAGAAAUAGAAAAGUGACCUUGAUGCUUGUGAAAUUCCUGUGGAAUUCCUGAGAAGCGCAGGUCUAAUGUAUUCAUAUUAGUACUAUAUAUGAACACCAUUAAUAUAUUAAUCCCAUUUUAAAAAAUGCAACCCUUUAAAAAACCUGGGUACCACUAGAACUUAUUUUUCUAGAAGAGGAAAUUGCUACCCAGAACUUAGAAACCUCAGCAUUUGUAAAUCUCUCUAUCUUUAUUAUUUUAAACUAGAGGAACUCUUACUUCCGGGUAUGAAAGUGGAGAAUGUCGUAUCAUAUGCAUAGAGAAUUGGGUCAAGUUGAAAUGGAUCAGCCCCAUUUCAAGAUUCUUUGGAAUAUUGCCACAUGAGGUGGAAAUAAGUGGGGUUUUCACUUUUUAUAAUUUUCACUAAUGGUAUUACUCCAUGGGGCUGAUGAAAUUAACAAAGUUCCCCUGUCCCUCCUUUACAUGAACUCAAUUCAAAAAGUUGAGGAAGGGCCAGGUACUGCGGCUCGUGCCUAUAAUCUCAGCACUUUGGGAGGCCCAGACAGGAGGAUCACUUGAGGCCAGGAGUUCAAGACCAGGCUAGGCAACAUAGCAAGACCUCAUCUCUACAACAAAAAUAAAAAUAAAAA